UGGCAGCGCACGCAAGGGGCGGAGGCGAGCGACCCUCUGGAGCCACGCACGUCGAGAGACCUGAGUGCGUCAUGUGCACCAGCAAGGUGUGCUUCCAUUUGGCAAGGGAGGAGCUCGAGCCGCAACGGUGGUCCACGGCGCCAUGGCCAUCCUCCUUGGCAGGAGGAGCAUGCGCCGCAGAGACGGCCGGAUCUGUCCAGCCCUCGCGCUGCUGUCCGUCCACCCUAGGGCGACCUGCUGAUUCCCGGAGCUCAUCACGCAUGAUGCAGAAAACGGAAGCCUCAUGAAGCCUGAUGCAUUACUACUCUGUGCAACAUGCAUCUCACCUUUUGUUGGUACUGGCUGUAGAUGCAGAAAACGGAACAUCUGCCUCCUUUUUUGGUGCGGAGAUGAGCCCCUAUGGUAAAUGAAUCUGCGGUAUGCAAGUACAGGUCAUUUUAUAAGAAGGGGAUGCAUUAUUUUCUGGAAAAUCGUUUACGCCAAGAGAUAGAAGACCUGGAGAAGGACACUGGGUAUAAGUUGAGAGUUCUCGCACAAAAUCAUCCGGACACACCGUAAAAUGGAUAGAUGACCCGUUUGCGCCUCAAGAAGUCAUAGGCAGGACCAAAUGUGAUGUAAUUACUUUCAAUAGUGCUUCAGCUCUGCAAUCGACAGUUUGACCUCAUGCUAGGGCAGCCUCAGCCAGUUGCCUCUUCUAUCAAAGUGCUGAUGGAAGACAUCCUGAGUCCUUAUUGCAUGCUAGAGAACAACAACUAUCUUGUUGGUGAUUCCCCUGAUAUUUGGUUCUACAAGUGUGGCAUAUGGACCAAUGAAAGCAAAGAUAUUCUGAAUGUAAUAGCUAUAUGGGUUGUGCCAAAUGGUUUAACAGUGGAAGCGUCACGCUUAAGUACCUGUGGAAGUGUACUAUGCAAGCAUUAUCAGACAAUGCAAUGACACCCUGUUUGUACAUUCACACCCUUUGAAUGCCGCAAUCAGACUAAGAAGAUGCCUAAA
Molecule: long non-coding RNA, 993 nt
Organism: Triticum dicoccoides
Lineage: Eukaryota; Viridiplantae; Streptophyta; Magnoliopsida; Poales; Poaceae
Exons: 8
Source: RefSeq, a predicted model, not a curated record